RNAcentral lists this microRNA (22 nucleotides) under Branchiostoma floridae (Florida lancelet). Its description in RNAcentral is "Bfl-Mir-31_5p (mature (guide))". The record is from RNAcentral. Lineage: Eukaryota; Metazoa; Chordata; Leptocardii; Amphioxiformes; Branchiostomatidae. RNAcentral also lists the same sequence under 4 other names.
UGGCAAGAUGUUGGCAUAGCUG